RNAcentral lists this transfer RNA (73 nucleotides) under Planctomycetia bacterium. RNAcentral's name for it is "tRNA-Glu". It matches the Rfam family "tRNA". From Rfam's summary of the family: Transfer RNA (tRNA) molecules are approximately 80 nucleotides in length. Their secondary structure includes four short double-helical elements and three loops (D, anti-codon, and T loops). Further hydrogen bonds mediate the characteristic L-shaped molecular structure. tRNAs have two regions of fundamental functional importance: the anti-codon, which is responsible for specific mRNA codon recognition, and the 3' end, to which the tRNAs corresponding amino acid is attached (by aminoacyl-tRNA synthetases). tRNAs cope with the degeneracy of the genetic code in two manners: having more than one tRNA (with a specific anti-codon) for a particular amino acid; and 'wobble' base-pairing, i.e. permitting non-standard base-pairing at the 3rd anti-codon position. The record is from RNAcentral. Lineage: Bacteria; Pseudomonadati; Planctomycetota; Planctomycetia.
GCCCCCUUCGUCUAGUGGCCUAGGACGGUGGAUUCUCAGUCCAUAAACAGGGGUUCGAUUCCCCUAGGGGGUA